CGAUCAUUACUUUAUACUACUUCACCAGCUGCACUACAUCGUACUCACAACAAUGGUGUAUACAUAUACGGCUCUUGUUAGUAAAUAAAAAGGUGAACUUGAGGAGACAAAAAUAGUAAUGAUGCACACAUAUACAAGUUCUCUUUUAUUUCUGAAAUGGGGAAAGUUUAAGUGCAUCUGCUCAUGAAUUACCCACUAUUUUUAGAAGUCAUUAUUUGAGAAGAAACCUUUGACUAAGAAUAAUUAGAGGCCAAUUUUGCACUAUAUUGUUUGCUUCCUUAGUAACUUGUCUAUUGUUUUUAUUUUACUUUCAGGAUAUGAGUGCAGCGUCGCAGGGGGAUCACGAGGAGCUAGCGAAGAUAAUCACAAAGGCCUUUUCUGUUUAAUUGGCUGAGAACUGCCUAAGAAUUUGCUGCUUGAUUCUUGACAGAAAAGUCUUAUGCUACAUGCUACACACUUGAUUCUCUGCUUGAACUAGGCUGAGUAGUUACAUGUACAUGCUACACACUCUAAUUUAGAUAAUCGGUUAGACCUCACCUCAUGUAACUUAAAAGGCUUGUUCUUGCAGAUGCUAAGUAAAAAAGAUGAUGCACUACUAAGCUUUUGUUCAAACAAGGUUAUGCUUCAUGUGUUCCGUCAUUCAUUUGACACAAUUAAUGCCAACUCGCUAGAAAUUGAAAUGUUGUUUCAA
This is a long non-coding RNA of Lolium rigidum, 691 nucleotides long. RefSeq lists it as uncharacterized. The record is from RefSeq and is a predicted model, not a curated record. The transcript is spliced from 2 exons. Lineage: Eukaryota; Viridiplantae; Streptophyta; Magnoliopsida; Poales; Poaceae.